RNAcentral lists this ribosomal RNA (449 nucleotides) under uncultured bacterium. RNAcentral describes it as "bacterial SSU rRNA". It matches the Rfam family "Bacterial small subunit ribosomal RNA", at positions 354 to 796 of the family's 1533-position model. The record is from RNAcentral.
GUGGGGAAUAUUGGACAAUGGGCGAAAGCCUGAUCCAGCCAUGCCGCGUGUGUGAAGAAGGUCUUCGGAUUGUAAAGCACUUUAAGUUGGGAGGAAGGGCAGUAAGUUAAUACCUUGCUGUUUUGACGUUACCGACAGAAUAAGCACCGGCUAACUUCGUGCCAGCAGCCGCGGUAAUACGAAGGGUGCAAGCGUUAAUCGGAAUUACUGGGCGUAAAGCGCGCGUAGGUGGUUUUGUAAGUUGGAGGUGAAAUCCCCGGGCUCAACCUGGGAACUGCCUCCAAAACUGCAUGACUAGAGUACGGUAGAGGGUAGUGGAAUUUCCUGUGUAGCGGUGAAAUGCGUAGAUAUAGGAAGGAACACCAGUGGCGAAGGCGACUACCUGGACUGAUACUGACACUGAGGUGCGAAAGCGUGGGGAGCAAACAGGAUUAGAAACCCCUGUGUCC